RNAcentral lists this ribosomal RNA (345 nucleotides) under uncultured soil bacterium. RNAcentral describes it as "bacterial SSU rRNA". It matches the Rfam family "Bacterial small subunit ribosomal RNA", at positions 26 to 374 of the family's 1533-position model. The record is from RNAcentral.
AGAUUGAACGCUGGCGGCAUGCCUAACACAUGCAAGUCGAACGGGAGUAGCAAUACUCUAGUGGCGGACGGGUGAGGAAUACGUAGGAAUUUGCCCUUAAGUGGGGGAUAACCCGGGGAAACCCGGAUUAAUACCGCAUGACCUCGAAAGAGCAAAGUGGGGGAUCGCAAGGCCUCACGCUUUUGGAGAAGCCUACGUCGGAUUAGCUAGUUGGUGAGGUAAUGGCUCACCAAGGCGACGAUCCGUAACUGGUCUGGAGAGAUGAUCGAGUCACCGAACCGGAACUGAGACGACCGGUCCGACUACCGUACGGGAGCGAGCAGGUAGGGAAUAGGUAGACAAGGU